This 64-nucleotide small RNA is filed under the name Salix viminalis (osier). Lineage: Eukaryota; Viridiplantae; Streptophyta; Magnoliopsida; Malpighiales; Salicaceae. The record is from RNAcentral.
UCAAUUGGAAUGAAGCAAAUAUCAAGGAUACCCAUUGAAUUAUCUUCCAAACGUUAACAAUUGA